GAUGAACGCUAGCUACAGGCUUAACACAUGCAAGUCGAGGGGAAACGACAUCGAAAGCUUGCUUUUGAUGGGCGUCGACCGGCGCACGGGUGAGUAACGCGUAUCCAACCUGCCCACCACUUGGGGAUAACCUUGCGAAAGUAAGACUAAUACCCAAUGACGUCUCUAGAAGACAUCUGAAAGAGAUUAAAGAUUUAUCGGUGAUGGAUGGGGAUGCGUCUGAUUAGCUUGUUGGCGGGGUAACGGCCCACCAAGGCGACGAUCAGUAGGGGUUCUGAGAGGAAGGUCCCCCACAUUGGAACUGAGACACGGUCCAAACUCCUACGGGAGGCAGCAGUGAGGAAUAUUGGUCAAUGGACGAGAGUCUGAACCAGCCAAGUAGCGUGCAGGACGACGGCCCUAUGGGUUGUAAACUGCUUUUAUAAGGGAAUAAAGUGAGCUACGUGUAGCUUUUUGCAUGUACCUUAUGAAUAAGGACCGGCUAAUUCCGUGUCCAGCGCCGCGGU
This 506-nucleotide ribosomal RNA is filed under the name uncultured bacterium. RNAcentral's name for it is "bacterial SSU rRNA". It matches the Rfam family "Bacterial small subunit ribosomal RNA", at positions 28 to 521 of the family's 1533-position model. The record is from RNAcentral.